RNAcentral lists this ribosomal RNA (253 nucleotides) under uncultured bacterium. RNAcentral describes it as "partial 16S ribosomal RNA". It matches the Rfam family "Bacterial small subunit ribosomal RNA", at positions 524 to 776 of the family's 1533-position model. The record is from RNAcentral.
UACAGGGGGGGCGAGCGUUGUUCGGAAUUACUGGGCGUAAAGGGUUUGUAGGUGGCUUGCUCAGUCAGACGUGAAAUCCCUCAGCUUAACUGGGGAACUGCGUCUGAUACUAGCGAGCUUGAGUGCAGGAGAGGAACGCGGAAUUCCAGGUGUAGCGGUGAAAUGCGUAGAUAUGUGGAGGAAUACCGAUGGCGAAGGCAGCCCCCUGGGAUAACACUGACGCUCAUGCACGAAAGCGUGGGGAGCAAACAGG